This is a long non-coding RNA of Capra hircus (goat), 1551 nucleotides long. Lineage: Eukaryota; Metazoa; Chordata; Mammalia; Artiodactyla; Bovidae. The record is from Ensembl.
CACUGGGUAAUGCUCUACUAGUCCUUUCUAGCUCCUCUAACAAUCGUGAUUGUUUUUGUACUUCUCUGUUUAAUUUCUCUCUUCCUGAUCAGAUGGUAAAGUCUCUGAGGGUGGCAAGGGUCAAUGCCUGUCCGGCUCACCAUGACAAGUGCUUCCCUGGUGUGAAGAAGUUAUGCUGGAGAGAGUGACUGGAUGAACAGAAUGAACAGAUGACCCCACCAAGAGCCUAGUCUGCAUCUGUCUGGUGCCCACGUCCUCUCCUCCAAGUCAGAAACAAAUGACAGGCAUUCUGCCUGCGGAUGAGCUGCCCGCCUGCUGGUCAGCCUUUCAGGCUCUGUGCCUGCUGGUUGAGGCCAGAUAGGGGGCGGGGGCCAGGUCUGAGCAGCAACCACAGCAUCAGCAUCUCCAGGAAAGCCUUGAACUCACGGUAACUAAGUGUGUCCACCUCCAAUCCUCCUAUCUCCAUGGAUGACCAGGUCAACUGUGUCAAUUUGUAGAUGCAGACACUAGCAAUAACUAGUAGCAAUCUAGCAGCAAUAACUUGUUCUUAAAUGCUGGGGAGAUAGAAUUCAGGGGGGCCCUGUGAUUCCAGCCAUACCAUAACCCUGUGCAGAAGAGACUCUCUGGGCGCCCUGGGGCCAGGGAGGCACUUGGAUGUCAGACCCAGCAACAUUCUCUAGCCUCAUUUCUCAUUUUUCUCCUCCCCGCCAUCCUCAGAAACCCAGUAGAACUCUCCAUCCCCUCCAACCACAAUGACGCCUUGUCGCUUCCUGGGAUGUGCCGAGCGGCCUCUUUCUCUGAGCCUCUCUGCGUCUUGUCUGGUGGCUGGUAACACUCCCUCAUAUCCACGCUUCUCCAUUCUUCAGGCCUCAGCUCCCACCGGGACUGCCACAGGGAGAUGCCUCUGUUUCACGUUCCUGUUUCUGCCGCUGGGAUCAACACUGGCUGCUGAAUGUCUUGGAGGUGCAUCCGCAUGAGGCACGACUCGGUGCAGUUCCCCCUCGCAGCUCUUUGCUCACCUUGUCGUCCUUGGGAACGCUCCUGGGCCCCACAGCUGCCUGGCACUAGUGGAGAUGCUCCUUGAGAACACUGCUUAUGGCAGUAAUAGCACAAGUUCUUCCAGGUGGAGGGGGAGAAAAGCGAGGGCCAGUGGAGGAAUGAGCACUCACACCCAGGACCCCACCUCCACACGUGGCCCCCGAACCCUGACAUUGUAAGCGGGAAGAGCGGGUGGUCCUUGGGGGGUGGGGGGAGCAGUUUUGAGGGUACACGAUGCUCUCCUCUCUCUGCUCCUUGUCACCUCCCAGCAUUGUGGACGAUGAGGUGGUGACCAGUGAGAGCUCAUCACAUCCUCAUUUUGUCCCAGUGCACACCCUUCAAGACCUCUCACUUCAGAGGCAGCGGCUGUUUUGAAUGCCAACAGUAAACGCUUGCUGUUUGACUUGCUGGGUGAACCCCAUGGGGGUUUAGAUCUUUUUUUCACCAAGCUUUGGGUUUAGAUCUUUUUAAAGCCAGCACUCCACAAAGCAGAAGUGGACAAGUGAACUCCCU